This 497-nucleotide ribosomal RNA is filed under the name uncultured bacterium. Its description in RNAcentral is "partial 16S ribosomal RNA". It matches the Rfam family "Bacterial small subunit ribosomal RNA", at positions 28 to 507 of the family's 1533-position model. The record is from RNAcentral.
GAUGAACGCUGGCGGCGUGCCUAAUACAUGCAAGUCGAGCGAACAGAUGAGGAGCUUGCUCCUCUGACGUUAGCGGCGGACGGGUGAGUAACACGUGGAUAACCUACCUAUAAGACUGGGAUAACUUCGGGAAACCGGAGCUAAUACCGGAUAAUAUAUUGAACCGCAUGGUUCAAUAGUGAAAGACGGUUUUGCUGUCACUUGUAGAUGGAUCCGCGCCGCAUUAGCUAGUUGGUAAGGUAAAGGCUUACCAAGGCAACGAUGCGUAGCCGACCUGAGAGGGUGAUCGGCCACACUGGAACUGAGACACGGUCCAGACUCCUACGGGAGGCAGCAGUAGGGAAUCUUCCGCAAUGGGCGAAAGCCUGACGGAGCAACGCCGCGUGAGUGAUGAAGGUCUUCGGAUCGUAAAACUCUGUUAUUAGGGAAGAACAAAUGUGUAAGUAACUAUGCACGUCUUGACGGUACCUAAUCAGAAAGACACGGCUAACUACGUG